RNAcentral lists this ribosomal RNA (496 nucleotides) under uncultured bacterium. RNAcentral describes it as "partial 16S ribosomal RNA". It matches the Rfam family "Bacterial small subunit ribosomal RNA", at positions 28 to 506 of the family's 1533-position model. The record is from RNAcentral.
GAUGAACGCUGGCGGCGUGCCUAAUACAUGCAAGUCGAGCGAACGGACGAGAAGCUUGCUUCUCUGAUGUUAGCGGCGGACGGGUGAGUAACACGUGGAUAACCUACCUAUAAGACUGGGAUAACUUCGGGAAACCGGAGCUAAUACCGGACAAUAUUUUGAACCGCAUGGUUCAAAAGUGAAAGACGGUCUUGCUGUCACUUAUAGAUGGAUCCGCGCUGCAUUAGCUAGUUGGUAAGGUAACGGCUUACCAAGGCAACGAUGCAUAGCCGACCUGAGAGGGUGAUCGGCCACACUGGAACUGAGACACGGUCCAGACUCCUACGGGAGGCAGCAGUAGGGAAUCUUCCGCAAUGGGCGAAAGCCUGACGGAGCAACGCCGCGUGAGUGAUGAAGGUCUUCGGAUCGUAAAACUCUGUUAUUAGGGAAGAACAUAUGUGUAAGUAACUGUGCACAUCUUGACGGUACCUAAUCAGAAAGCCACGGCUAACUACGU